CUCAGAUCAUGUAAGAUUUUAAUGAUCGAACAGAUCAAAAUUUUAAACUUUUGCAUUUAAAUUUUAUCUUAAUCCAACAUCGAGGUCGCAAACUUUUUUUUUUAUUUGAACUAAAAAAAAAUAUUACGCUGUUAUCCCUAAGGUAAUUUUUUCUUAUAAUCAUUAAUAAUGGAUCAUUUAAUCAUUUAUUUAUGUUUAAUUUUUAAAAAAAGUUCAUUAAAUUUUUCUAUCGCCCCAAUAUAAUAAUUAAUUUUAUUUUAAUAAAAAAUUUAAUAUAACUUUAAAAUAAAAAUAAAUAUAAAACUCUAUAGGGUCUUCUCGUCUUUUAAAAUUAUUUUAGCUUUUUAACUAAAAAAUAAAUUUCUAAAAAUAAAUAAGAGACAGUUUAUAUUUCAUCAAAUCUUUCAUACAAGUUUUCAAUUAAAAAACUAUUGAUUAUGCUACCUUUGUACAGUCAUUAUACUGCAGCCCUUUAAUAAUUAUCAGUGGGCAGAUUAGACUUUAAAUUAUAAUCAAAAAGACAUGUUUUUG
Molecule: ribosomal RNA, 531 nt
Filed under: Oeneis tarpeja
Lineage: Eukaryota; Metazoa; Arthropoda; Insecta; Lepidoptera; Nymphalidae
Description: partial 16S rRNA
Source: RNAcentral